AUGGCACGUUGUUAUCAACCUGAUGACAUUAAAACUCGGAGAGUAGUAAACUGCAGCAUCUUUAGCCUGAACUCCACUGACGACAAAGUCAGAGUCGUGUCUCUCAGUGAGUUUGUAUCACUAUGGUGGACUUUUGGUGGAGGAACCAGACUGGAUGUUGGAAGUGAUACUCGUCCCACCCUGACAGUGCUGCCCCCCUCCAGUGAGGAGCUGCAACAGGGGAAGGCCACCCUCAUGUGUCUGGCCAACAAGGGCUUCCCCUCAGGCUGGAGUUUGUCCUGGAAGGUGGACGGCAGCAGCAGCAGCAGCAGCAGCUGGGAGCAGAGCAGGAUCCCCGGGGUGCUGCAGAAGGACGGCCUCUACAGCUGGAGCAGCACCCUGAGGCUCCCUGCAGACCAGUGGAGGAAGGUGGGCUCUGUGACCUGUGAGGCCACCCAGAACAUUGUCCCUUUUGAUGUAUUGUGA
Molecule: non-coding RNA, 465 nt
Organism: Girardinichthys multiradiatus
Lineage: Eukaryota; Metazoa; Chordata; Actinopteri; Cyprinodontiformes; Goodeidae
Source: the annotation of a RefSeq genome assembly